CCUACGGGAGGCAGCAGUGGGGAAUAUUGCACAAUGGGGGAAACCCUGAUGCAGCGACGCCGCGUGAGUGAAGAAGUAUUUCGGUAUGUAAAGCUCUAUCAGCAGGGAAGAAAAUGACGGUACCUGAUUAAGAAGCACCGGCUAACUACGUGCCAGCAGCCGCGGUAAUACGUAGGGGGCAAGCGUUACCCGGAUUUACUGGGUGUAAAGGGAGCGUAGACGGCAGAGCAAGUCUGAAGUGAAAUGCCGGGGCUUAACCCCGGAACUGCUUUGGAAACUGUGCAGCUAGAGUGCAGGAGAGGUAGGUGGAAUUCCUGGUGUAGCGGUAAAAUGCGUAGAGAUUAAGAGGAACACUAGUGGCGAAGGCGACUUGCUGGACUGUAACUGACGUUGAGGCUCGAAAGCGUGGGGAGCAAACAGGAUUAGAUACCCCUGUAGUC
This 440-nucleotide ribosomal RNA is filed under the name uncultured bacterium. Its description in RNAcentral is "partial 16S ribosomal RNA". It matches the Rfam family "Bacterial small subunit ribosomal RNA", at positions 338 to 795 of the family's 1533-position model. The record is from RNAcentral.